GAAACGCGAUAGUUAAUGUGAAUUGCAGAAUUCAGUGAAUCAUCGAGUCUUUGAACGCACAUUGCGCCCAUAGGUAUUCCUUUGGGCACGUCUGUUUGAGCGUCAUUACAACCCUCAGCUAACCGCUGGUUUUGAACCUGAACGGGUGACACCGCGCCGGUUUUAAAGUUGUAAGCUCUGCUGGCCGCUCUGCCCAACCAGAACAUAGUAAGCACUACUUGUCCGGGUGAAGCUGAACGGUACGGCCUGAACAAAACCUACCCACUCUCAAGGUUUGACCUCAGAUCAGACAAGGAUACCCGCUGAACUUAAGC
RNAcentral lists this unclassified non-coding RNA (314 nucleotides) under plant metagenome. RNAcentral describes it as "partial contains 5.8S ribosomal RNA, internal transcribed spacer 2, and large subunit ribosomal RNA". The stretch from base 1 to 105 matches the Rfam family "5.8S ribosomal RNA", at positions 50 to 154 of the family's 154-position model. The record is from RNAcentral.